CAGGAAUGGAUAAAGCAUGGAGAGGAACCAGGAAUGUGCUCAGAAAAAAAUCUUUCCUCACUGAAACCAGGACUAGGGAAAGGAGGUUCCCCUCCACAGUCCAUGGACUCAGGCUGACGGAGCACGCUGUCUCUCUGUGUCUCUCCCUUUCUCUCUCUGGAACGUCGUCAGAUGCCACAGAAGAGGGAAAAGAGACCUGGAAUGACUUGCCGAGGUUCUUGGCCCAUAACCAAGCACUGGGUAAACCGCUUUACCUCAUCCAGUCUUCACAAUUACACCACAAGGCAUAGCUAGUGUAAAACUGACUCACAGCACGUCCAGGAAUGCACCUGUUGAUAAGAUAUUGAGGUGAGGUGCACCAGCAGCUCCUGGCGGUGCACACGGUGGAUGGCACCCAA
Rhinopithecus roxellana (golden snub-nosed monkey) is the source of this 398-nucleotide long non-coding RNA. RefSeq lists it as uncharacterized. Lineage: Eukaryota; Metazoa; Chordata; Mammalia; Primates; Cercopithecidae. The transcript is spliced from 4 exons. The record is from RefSeq and is a predicted model, not a curated record.